Molecule: ribosomal RNA, 458 nt
Filed under: uncultured bacterium
Lineage: Bacteria
Description: partial 16S ribosomal RNA
Rfam family: Bacterial small subunit ribosomal RNA
Source: RNAcentral
CCUACGGGUGGCUGCAGUGGGGAAUAUUGCACAAUGGGGGGAACCCUGAUGCAGCGACGCCGCGUGAGUGAAGAAGUAUUUCGGUAUGUCAAGCUCUAUCAGCAGGGGAGAAAUAGCGACCUUUGGGUCGCCAGACGGUACCUGAUUAAGCAGCGCCGGCUAAAUACGUGCCAGCAGCCGCGGUAAUACGUAGGGGGCAAGCGUUAUCCGGAUUUACUGGGUGUAAAGGGAGCGUAGACGGCAGCGCAAGUCUGAAGUGAAAUGCCGGGGCUUAACCCCGGAACUGCCUUGGAAACUGUGCAGCUAGAGUGCAGGAGAGGUAAGUGGAAUGCCUAGUGUAGCGGUGAAAUGCGUAGAUAUUAGGAGGAACACCAGUGGCGAAGGCGGCUUACUGGACUGGAACUGACGUUGAGGCUCGAAAGCGUGGGGAGCAAACAGGAUUAGAUACCCGGGUAGUC